RNAcentral lists this ribosomal RNA (253 nucleotides) under uncultured bacterium. RNAcentral describes it as "partial 16S ribosomal RNA". It matches the Rfam family "Bacterial small subunit ribosomal RNA", at positions 524 to 776 of the family's 1533-position model. The record is from RNAcentral.
GACAGAGGGGGCAAGCGUUGCUCGGAAUUACUGGGCGUAAAGGGCGCGUAGGCGGGAUGGCAAGUCGGUCGUGAAAUCCUUCGGCUCAACCGAAGAACGUCGAUCGAUACUGCUGUUCUUGAGGGUUGCAGAGGAGACUGGAAUUCCCGGUGUAGCGGUGAAAUGUGUAGAGAUCGGGAGGAACACCGGUGGCGAAGGCGGUUCUCUGGGCAUUACCUGACGCUGAGGAGCGAAAGUGUGGGGAGCGAACAGG